Molecule: ribosomal RNA, 710 nt
Filed under: uncultured bacterium
Lineage: Bacteria
Description: bacterial SSU rRNA
Rfam family: Bacterial small subunit ribosomal RNA
Source: RNAcentral
ACGGGUGAGUAUAAUAUUGGAACGUACCGAGUAAUGGGGGAUGACUAUCCGAAAGGAUGGCUAAUACCGCAUACGUCCUGAGGGAGAAAGCGGGGGACAGGCAACUGCCUCGUGUUAUUUGAGCGGCCAAUAUCGGAUUAGCUAGUUGGUGGGGUAAAGGCUUACCAAGGCGACGAUCCGUAGCGGGUCUGAGAGGAUGAUCCGCCACACUGGGACUGAGACACGGCCCAGACUCCUACGGGAGGCAGCAGUGGGGAAUUUUGGACAAUGGGGGGAACCCUGAUCCAGCCAUGCCGCGUGUAUGAAGAAGGCCUUAGGGUUGUAAAGUACUUUUGUUAGGGAAGAAAAGGCGUUUGCUAAUAUCAGAUGCUGAUGACGGUACCUAAAGAAUAAGCACCGGCUAACUACGUGCCAGCAGCCGCGGUAAUACGUAGGGUGCAAGCGUUAAUCGGAAUUACUGGGCGUAAAGCGAGCGCAGACGGUUACUUAAGCAAGAUGUGAAAUCCCCGAGCUCAACUUGGGAACUGCGUUUUGAACUGGGUAGCUAGAGUGUGUCAGAGGGGGGUAGAAUUCCACGUGUAGCAGUGAAAUGCGUAGAGAUGUGGAGGAAUACCGAUGGCGAAAGGCAGCCCCCUGGGAUAGCACUGACGUUCAUGCUCGAAAGCGUGGGUAGCAAACAGGAUUAGAUACCCUGGUAGUCCACGCCCUAA